Molecule: non-coding RNA, 21 nt
Organism: Caenorhabditis elegans
Lineage: Eukaryota; Metazoa; Nematoda; Chromadorea; Rhabditida; Rhabditidae
Source: Ensembl
UAACUGAGUCUGAAUGUUAAU